This 271-nucleotide long non-coding RNA is filed under the name Capsicum annuum. RNAcentral's name for it is "long non-coding RNA (CANN_LNC006178)". The record is from RNAcentral. Lineage: Eukaryota; Viridiplantae; Streptophyta; Magnoliopsida; Solanales; Solanaceae.
UAGUAGUAAUGUGCAUAUAUAUAAUAUAUAACAGUAGUGGUAAUGUAGUAGUCGUAUCUCGGUUUCCGUGUGUGUGUAUAUGUAGUAUGUUUGUGUGUGCAGAUCUAUAAUGUAGUAGUAGUAGUGUCCCUGAUGUUUUUUUUUUUUUUCGUGUGUAGUGUAUAUAUAUAGUGUAUGUGUGUAGUGUAUGUAGUAGUGUAUGUAGUGUGGUAAUGUGGGAGGGAUAGUGGGGGAGGUUGAUUAGGAGUGGGGGAUUGUGGGUGGUUUGGGU